GGACAUUAGUCCUUUUAGCUGAAAUCUUCAACUGACGACCAUGCAACUCCGACUCAUUAAGCAAAAGAGCAUUCUGUACAGAUUCAACUUCAACAAACUCAACAUAUGCAAAUCCCUUGGGUUGGCCAAACUUGUCUGUUAAAAUCGUUAUUCUGUUCACAGUCCCACAAGACUGAAAAUGUUGUUGGACUUCUUCUGGCGUACAUGAGUAAUCCACAUUUCCAACAUAGAUUGAACGAGAAUCCACUUCCUCUUUCUCAGCUUGGGUUGCAGUGUCACUAGAAGAAUCUUGGACGGCGCCCAUCUCCUUCUCGACCUUCGCCUGCAUCUCGCGGAGAGCGGCCGCCUCUUCCUCGAUCUCCUUGAGCCGCUUCUUCAUGUCCUCGAUAUUCUCGGGCUUGGGGGAGGAGGAGGAGGGGUCCGCGGCGGCGGCGAUCUCGUCGGCGGCAACCAUCUCGUCGUCCGCGUAGGGGAUGUCGGCGCCGUAGACCUCGUGCUCCG
This 501-nucleotide unclassified non-coding RNA is filed under the name Hevea brasiliensis (rubber tree). The record is from RNAcentral. Lineage: Eukaryota; Viridiplantae; Streptophyta; Magnoliopsida; Malpighiales; Euphorbiaceae.